GGGUUGUGAGGUUAAGCGACUAAGCGUACACGGUGGAUGCCCUGGCAGUCAGAGGCGAUGAAGGACGUGCUAAUCUGCGAUAAGCGUCGGUAAGGUGAUAUGAACCGUUAUAACCGGCGAUUUCCGAAUGGGGAAACCCAGUGUGAUUCGUCACACUAUCAUUAACUGAAUCCAUAGGUUAAUGAGGCGAACCGGGGGAACUGAAACAUCUAAGUACCCCGAGGAAAAGAAAUCAACCGAGAUUCCCCCAGUAGCGGCGAGCGAACGGGGAGCAGCCCAGAGCCUGAAUCAGUGUGUGUGUUAGUGGAAGCGUCUGGAAAGGCGCGCGAUACAGGGUGACAGCCCCGUACACAAAAAUGCACAUACUGUGAGCUCGAUGAGUAGGGCGGGACACGUGGUAUCCUGUCUGAAUAUGGGGGGACCAUCCUCCAAGGCUAAAUACUCCUGACUGACCGAUAGUGAACCAGUACCGUGAGGGAAAGGCGAAAAGAACCCCGGCGAGGGGAGUGAAAAAGAACCUGAAACCGUGUACGUACAAGCAGUGGGAGCCUCUUUAUGGGGUGACUGCGUACCUUUUGUAUAAUGGGUCAGCGACUUAUAUUCUGUAGCAAGGUUAACCGAAUAGGGGAGCCGAAGGGAAACCGAGUCUUAACUGGGCGUUAAGUUGCAGGGUAUAGACCCGAAACCCGGUGAUCUAGCCAUGGGCAGGUUGAAGGUUGGGUAACACUAACUGGAGGACCGAACCGACUAAUGUUGAAAAAUUAGCGGAUGACUUGUGGCUGGGGGUGAAAGGCCAAUCAAACCGGGAGAUAGCUGGUUCUCCCCGAAAGCUAUUUAGGUAGCGCCUCGUGAAUUCAUCUCCGGGGGUAGAGCACUGUUUCGGCAAGGGGGUCAUCCCGACUUACCAACCCGAUGCAAACUGCGAAUACCGGAGAAUGUUAUCACGGGAGACACACGGCGGGUGCUAACGUCCGUCGUGAAGAGGGAAACAACCCAGACCGCCAGCUAAGGUCCCAAAGUCAUGGUUAAGUGGGAAACGAUGUGGGAAGGCCCAGACAGCCAGGAUGUUGGCUUAGAAGCAGCCAUCAUUUAAAGAAAGCGUAAUAGCUCACUGGUCGAGUCGGCCUGCGCGGAAGAUGUAACGGGGCUAAACCAUGCACCGAAGCUGCGGCAGCGACACUAUGUGUUGUUGGGUAGGGGAGCGUUCUGUAAGCCUGUGAAGGUGUGCUGUGAGGUAUGCUGGAGGUAUCAGAAGUGCGAAUGCUGACAUAAGUAACGAUAAAGCGGGUGAAAAGCCCGCUCGCCGGAAGACCAAGGGUUCCUGUCCAACGUUAAUCGGGGCAGGGUGAGUCGACCCCUAAGGCGAGGCCGAAAGGCGUAGUCGAUGGGAAACAGGUUAAUAUUCCUGUACUUGGUGUUACUGCGAAGGGGGGACGGAGAAGGCUAUGUUGGCCGGGCGACGGUUGUCCCGGUUUAAGCGUGUAGGCUGGUUUUCCAGGCAAAUCCGGAAAAUCAAGGCUGAGGCGUGAUGA
RNAcentral lists this ribosomal RNA (1532 nucleotides) under Escherichia coli. Its description in RNAcentral is "partial 23S ribosomal RNA". It matches the Rfam family "Bacterial large subunit ribosomal RNA", at positions 1 to 1569 of the family's 2925-position model. The record is from RNAcentral. Lineage: Bacteria; Pseudomonadati; Pseudomonadota; Gammaproteobacteria; Enterobacterales; Enterobacteriaceae.